Molecule: long non-coding RNA, 1221 nt
Filed under: Salvia miltiorrhiza (redroot sage)
Lineage: Eukaryota; Viridiplantae; Streptophyta; Magnoliopsida; Lamiales; Lamiaceae
Description: long non-coding RNA (SMIL_LNC006633)
Source: RNAcentral
AUAAUACCACAUGUAUCUCCCAACUUGUGACUCAGCCAAUCCCUCAAACCGACUCAAACCAGUAUAAAUCUGGUGAGCUACAGAAAAUUUAAUUUUUUCCCCAUCCUGAAAUUUCUAAACAAUAAAGCAGAUAUUCAUCCAAAACAUGGUUCAUCCCAACAGUUAUCACACCACGCAAUUUACCAACAAGCAGGUAAUAUUCUUUCUACAGCUCAAUAAUCCACUCAUAGACGGGAAUCAAGUACAACAGAGAUAAACAUCAAUUUUCUUUAAUAUCUACAGUAUACAUCUACUCUACAAAGAGUUAUAAACCAGAUAAUACAAUAAAAGAAGUUUGAUUAAAAAAAAAAAAAACUGGAUCUUGAGCAAUAGAUGGACUUAACUCCCAAAGAUAUCCCGAAUCGUUGAUUCCUGAAAUAGGAAAUAAUUUGAGAUCUAUUAGUUUGUGAUGUUAAAACUGAAAUAGAAAAUAGAUUGGAAGUUUGGAAGUCUGUUAAAAUAGGAUUUUGAACUGGGAAAUAGAGAAGAUGGAAGGAAGAAGGAGGGGAUUACCAGCCGCAGCCCCGAGCCGCCGCGGCGGAGGCGCGACUGGCAGCGGCAACCACUGGCGCUGGCCGCACCACCGUGGAUACAGACAAUCGAGAGAAAGAGGAAGGGUGAACGAGGGAGAUAAAGAGUGAGAUAGAGAGAGAUAGACGACAGAAAGAGGAAAAGGAAGGCAGAAUGAGAUGGAGGGAGAGCAGGGCGGCGGCGACCACCGGUGCUGCAUGCGUCGUCGCGGCUCGCAGCGGCCGCCGCGGCCUGGCCAGAAGAGAGAGAGAUCGAGAGGGAGAGCAGAGGAAGAGGAAAGAAGAGAAGGGGAGAGAGACAUGGGCUUACCUGAGUCAGAGGAGGCGGCGGCGCGACGCAGACAACGGCGGUGGAGGCAGGCCUCGCCGGAGAAACGAAUUCCAGAGGGGAAGAAGGGAGGUAGAAACCCUAGGAAUUAGAUUUUUUUAAUUUGGGGAUUUAGAUGUAGGGAAGGGAAGAAAAUAGAGGGGGAAGAGAGGGGCCGGCCGCGCCGCACCAGAGGCGGCGAGGACCGGUGACGUCCACCGGAGAGCGAGAGCUACUGAGAGACGCAGAAAGAGGGAGCGAAAAGAGAGAGAGAGAGCGUGUAAAGAAGAAAGGAAAAGUGAGAGAGAAAAAAGUGUUUUCCCAUUUAAUUAAAGAAGAUUCUAG